Molecule: long non-coding RNA, 4320 nt
Organism: Lolium rigidum
Lineage: Eukaryota; Viridiplantae; Streptophyta; Magnoliopsida; Poales; Poaceae
Exons: 9
Source: RefSeq, a predicted model, not a curated record
CGACGGUCGGGCGGCGGCGCUGGAGAUGGAGGAUCUCAUCCACAACUUCGUUUUGUUCGCAUCGAGCUCAACCGCAAAGAAAAGGAGAAGAGACUGACUACUCUAGGUCAUGUUAGUGGUUACUCUGGCGAUUUAAUGAUAUAAUUUGGCAUGUGAGAUCUUGGCAUCGACAUGGGUAAAGAAACUUCAGGAUCUUGAAUGCUCUCUGUACAUGCUAUGAAAUAAUUUGCUUAUAGUGCUAUUACACAUGAAUUUAUUCAGGUGAUGCCACUAAAGCCUGACUACGCUCUAAUUGAUUUCCAAUUUACAUGACAUACAUAUUUCUUAAAUAUGUGAAGUUGUUCUUUUAAUAUUGCAGCUUUUGAACAGAUAAUGCAGACUCUGAACUGAACUAAUAUUGGAAGGACUCAGAGAAGCCAUAACAGUGCUCUUUGCAUUCCUAAUUGAUCAGUACUCACAUAUAUCACUACCAUCAGAGAUGUUUUGACUACAUAUUUAGUUUCUGCUGCUAAAUUGAGAAUUUGAUGCUAUGAAGGUCUCGGUUCAUGUGCCCCUAUUAUUUGCAGGGAAGAAACAGAGAAAGGCAUGCUCGGGGACACUUGCACGUACUAGGAAUGUGCCCAUGCUCAUAGGCCUGCUUUGUUCCUUGCUUAGUUCCAGGAUUAGGAAUCUUGGAUGAUAAUUAUAAGAGUCGACGACACAGGAGCAUGGUCAAGUGAGAGGUAUGACAUGGGAGUACAAGAGAAUAGUGCUAUGCUGAACCUGUGCCUUGCAAGCUUCUAAUUGAAUUGGAGAAGCUGAAAGUGUGUUUAGUUGCUGCAAGGGGUGAGGUUUUUCUUCCUUGCUGGUUGGUUGGAUUUUUUUCAGUUUCUAUUAGUUGAUCUACAAUUCUUUCUUUCCUCAUAUAAUGAUUGGUGGGAAUAAUAAAUAAGAAAUGCUCUGCUAGAUGUGUGGCUUGUAGGUAGGGUUGCAAAUGCAGGAUCGCCCAUAUCAUUGUUUAGUCUAAGCAAAUUGUACUAUUUGGAACGGAAUCCGCCCCGCAUGUCCUGCCGCGUUGCAACCCUACUUGCGGCCAGGCAUAGUAGCACAAGAAGGAACUUAUGUUGGACAGUUCAUAGUGGGUUGAUUUCUGAAUCUGAAAUUAAAGAUAUGGAUGACGGCGCUAAUAACUAGAAGUUGUGCAAUCGUGCCGACUAUAUUCUUGGCUCUAUUCUAAUGCUUUCAAGAUAAGAGAAAAACUUACAAUGCAAUAUUUGGACUUAUUUUCCUUCUAACAUGUAUUGGAAAAUACAACCCAGCUUUCGUCUAAAGAAAUUUCUCUAUUUACACUAUGCUUAUCUGAGUGCAUACUUUGUGUUAUGCCUGUAAGAGGACAAGAUCUGGCACUCGGUGUUCUGCAUCGUGCAGAUUAUUUUAGUAAAAAUUACCCUAAAGUGGCACUUGGAGAUCUAUCACACCUUUAGAUGGUAUAACUUAGAGAAGGGGCAGGAAAGUCCCGUUAUGUGGUUUUCCAGUGAUAUUACUACAACCAACUGGCAUGCAUAUGACCCCAUUUGCAAUCUCUGUGAUGACAGAACACUAUAUAGUUGUUUUAGAUUCAGAGUGGAGAUGAUGUGUUGAUAGGUUCAGAAAGAUGAAGAAUCGAUCCUCUUUGCAGGAUCUCCUGGAGUCAACCGCCACUGCCACCCUUCUACAGCUUGGAUCGGGAACCAUCUUCGCCGAGCAUUAACUCUCCUAUGUGUACUCAUAUAAUGUCGUUAGUUAUUUUUCUUGCUGGGAUUAUAUAAUAUAUGUAUGAACUGUACGCUCUGUGGUCAUUCAUGCUUACAGUUGCGUUGAAGCCAUCUACCUGAGAUCUCAUGUAUGUAUAUAGGACCUCAUUACUAUUUAAUAUUAUAUAUCCCUAUUUCUCUACAUCUUGCCGACUACUUAAAACACUCAUAGAUCUCAUGUAUGUAUAUAGGACCUCAUUACUAUUUAAUACUAUUAUAUAUCCUUAUAUUCUCUACAUCUUGCCGACUACUUAAAACACUCAUAGAUCUCAUGUAUGUAUAUAUGACCUCAUUACUAUUUAAUAUUAUAUAUCCCUAUAUUCUCUACAUCUUGCCGACUACUUAAAACACUCAUAGAUAUAAUGGCUUUUGUUGACUAAGCUUUCUUGUACAUUGGGUUUGUACUGUAAGAGAUGGUGUAUUCCCUCUGUCCAAAAUUACGUGACACAGCUUAGUCUACACAGGAUGGAGGAAAUGCUUAUGAUUCCUAAAUAUAAUUAGCUUAUGAUGAAGUGUAUUACAAAAUGAUUAUAUGUGCGAAAGACCGGGGUAUCAUUCCUCAUUGCCGGGAUUCAACUAUGUGCAUACAUUUCAUUCUUCUUUGCCGAGUGCCUGGACUUCUAUGAGUUGAUCUUCUGAGUUGAUUUAUUAGUACCUCUUGAUGGUAAAAUUAACUGGUCUGAAAUAUGUAUCUAGAGUUUCAUGUAAAUCUUACUAAUCUUACUAAUCUUGAUUUCUAUUUUGUCGAUGUAAUGCAUAGUAGUGUUAUUUGUAUUGGGAUAUUCAAUUUUCAUUCCAUUUUUCAGAACCCUAGGACUAUCCACCUUAGUAAUUUUUUGAUACACCUGUUCUCUACACCUUAAUAAAUUUUUGAUACACCUGUGCUCUACACCUGUUGAGUACAUUAUGGAUACAAUGUUUUGGGGUAUUUUUAGCUUAUUUUUGUAUGUAAAUGGCCCUGUGGUAUUUUCACAGUUUUGAUUUUAAUUUGCAUCAUUCUUCAGUUUUUUAUUUGCGGAUUUUAGUCGUCCUCUGGAAUAAUUCCCUCGAGAUGAAGGGCUACUUUCCUCCCCCAUUUCAUGGUCUAACCAAGAUUUUUAUUCAGCUCGGUGUCUUGUUCUUGCCAAUUUUACUGUCAAACCAAACUGGUAAAUGCAUGUUUGUCUCAAAUGCUCAUACUCAACUAACUCUGUAUGCAAAAAAGAAAAGAAAUUCAGCUGCAAAUGGAAUUUCUUGAAACCAAACAGAAGGUAAUAAUUAUGUUCUCCGUUGUUGAGGUUGAUUCAUAGCCUUGUAUUUUAGAAACUUUAAACUUGGAUGCUCCUCAUCGGUUUCAGGAUUUGCAAACUUAUCUAACGUUAUAAUCACUCAUUUCUAACAUACUGAUAAGGGGAGAAAAAAGAAAUCAAGAUGUUCUUAAUCAAAUGAAAGUAAUUUCAAUUUCUUAUAGAUUAUUUCUUUCGUGUGCUUUUUCUUGCCCUCUACUAGCCUACAUUUAAAAUGGGUUCAUAUGAAAAGUUCAUAUGAAAAUCCAUAACAGCAUGUUGGAUAUAUUAUUACUACUAUUUUUGUAUUCCUUUCAUAGGUAUCAUCAUGGUAUUGACAUACUGUAGUGUUGCUCAAUUCCGUGUAGAUGCUCCUACAAUGGCGGUGUGAAGAGGAGAAAGAAUGAGGUGAUACAUGGCAGCAGCGGCGGGACAAGUUGUGUAAGAUAAUUGACACCUUCGCAUGGCCAUCCUAAUGGCUCGGUUAAAAAAUGUACAUACAAUUCAGUUUUCCUACUCAAAUUUCUGAGUACGGUGUCAUCUAAAUGGCAAUAACUACGUUUUCUAUCUUUGAGUUAUACAGGAUAUGAGCGCGCAUGUAGUCAUCAUUGAUGUGAGAUUUUUUAGUUCUUUUAUUCAGACUCAUUGGUCCAUGCGAUUUACAACUUCUUUGAAACUAUCUUACAUGCUUCCUUUUUCUUCUGUAUAUGCACAUAUCAUUAUUUGAUUGAGUUCCACUUUUGGAUUGGUGACACCAAGUCAUUGUCUCUCAUAAUUCAGUUUGAUGUUUCAUGUUCUCAUUAGGAAACUACUUGCAUUCACAUGCACUGUAUUUUGUUCAAAAUUAUCUUUUGAUUACUCAAUCUUUGUUUCGGGUCCUCCUGGAUGAUUCUAAUGUUGGUUACGCAGGGCAUGCUGAACCGGUGGUCUUUUCCUAUUAGAAAAUCCUUGAUUAGGCAACAUGUCCUGAGUGACCUUUAUAGUCAUCUCAACUGACCAGCCUUCAUGAUUCAGGUAAAGAAAGGUGAAUGGUGUUGCCGAUCACUCUGUGAAAUUUCUGAAGUUUCAAGAAAACAUGAGAUUUUUAAUGUUCCAGUAGUUGAGAUGUUUGAUAUUUAGUUCGUGCAUAUUGGUUCACCAUUCAUGUAAAAUCUACCGUAGUUUGGACAAUGAGCUUCUAGCCUGGUUGUUUGUUAGCCUUAUGGCUGAUGGUGAGCUUGCUAGCAGUUUCUGGUUGUACUCAAACAUUAUAGCUUCAUUCGGCACAUACAUGCUACCGUGGU